This 429-nucleotide ribosomal RNA is filed under the name Gemmatimonadota bacterium. RNAcentral's name for it is "Gemmatimonadetes bacterium partial 16S ribosomal RNA". It matches the Rfam family "Bacterial small subunit ribosomal RNA", at positions 355 to 776 of the family's 1533-position model. The record is from RNAcentral. Lineage: Bacteria; Pseudomonadati; Gemmatimonadota.
UAGGGAAUCUUCGGCAAUGGACGAAAGUCUGACCGAGCAACGCCGCGUGAGUGAAGAAGGUUUUCGGAUCGUAAAACUCUGUUGUUAGAGAAGAACAAGGACGUUAGUAACUGAACGUCCCCUGACGGUAUCUAACCAGAAAGCCACGGCUAACUACGUGCCAGCAGCCGCGGUAAUACGUAGGUGGCAAGCGUUGUCCGGAUUUAUUGGGCGUAAAGCGAGCGCAGGCGGUUUCUUAAGUCUGAUGUGAAAGCCCCCGGCUCAACCGGGGAGGGUCAUUGGAAACUGGGAGACUUGAGUGCAGAAGAGGUGAGUGGAAUUCCAUGUGUAGCGGUGAAAUGCGUAGAUAUAUGGAGGAACACCAGUGGCGAAGGCGGCUCUCUGGUCUGUAGCUGACGCUGAGGCUCGAAAGCGUGGGGAGCAAACAGG